RNAcentral lists this ribosomal RNA (402 nucleotides) under uncultured bacterium. Its description in RNAcentral is "bacterial SSU rRNA". It matches the Rfam family "Bacterial small subunit ribosomal RNA", at positions 355 to 774 of the family's 1533-position model. The record is from RNAcentral.
UGGGGAAUCAUAGACAAUGGGGGAAACCCUGAUCUUGCCAUGCCGCGUGAGCGAUGAAGGCCCUAGGGUUGUAAAGCUCUUUCACCGGUGAAGAUAAUGACGGUAGCCGGAGAAGAAGCCCCGGCUAACUCCGUGCCAGCAGCCGCGGUAAUACGGAGGGGGCUAGCGUUGUUCGGAAUUACUGGGCGUAAAGCGCGCGUAGGCGGGCUGUUAAGUCGGGGGUGAAAUCCCGGGGCUCAACCCCGGAACUGCCUUCGAUACUGGCAGCCUAGAGGACGGGAGAGGUGAGUGGAAUGCCGAGUGUAGAGGUGAAAUUCGUAGAUAUUCGGCGGAACACCAGUGGCGAAGGCGGCUCACUGGCCCGUUUCUGACGCUGAGGUGCGAAAGCGUGGGGAGCAAACA